Molecule: non-coding RNA, 1376 nt
Organism: Theobroma cacao (cacao)
Lineage: Eukaryota; Viridiplantae; Streptophyta; Magnoliopsida; Malvales; Malvaceae
Source: RefSeq, a predicted model, not a curated record
UGGAAUGACGUGCUUAGCUUGCUUUUCAUGCUUUCGUUUCACGUCUGACUUGAUUUUCAAAUUUGGGUGAGGAGUUUGUCUUUAUUUAUUUUGGUUACUCCAAGGCCAUCCUUUCUGUUCUUUCGAGUUUGCGUCCUUCAUUUUUUGGUUUGUAUGCUCUGUUGUUGGUGAUUUUUCCCUUGAGUUUGGCUAUUUUGCUUUCUUGUUUUCUGUGCUUUGUGUCUUUCUCUGCUUUGAUUUUGCGUUUUUCUUCUCAAGGAUUUUCCUUCCAUUUUUUACUAUUAUUUAUCUUUUCCCAGUUUUGUUUUGUCCUUUUUUUUUCUUCUUUUCGGCUUUCAUUGUUGUUUCUUGAUUCCAUUAUAUAUAUAAAAGGAAAUUUGAUUACUCCCAUUUCAGUUUGGGUAUUUUUAAAAAAUAAUUUUUCCUUUAUUCCAUUAUUUAUUUGUACAGUUGUGUUUUUGUGUUAUAGUGAUAGCCAUAUCUCUCAGUUGUGGUGGAUGAAUGAGUCAUUUGAUGCUUUUUUUGUUUGUUUACUUUCAUCUUUAAUCUGUUGAGAAUAAACUCUUAUGGUUUUUCAUUGGUUGUUUAUUGAUGUGAUCAUGAACGUAAGGACGCUGAAUAUGAAUUACUGAACAGUUUAAAUAGAUGUUAAUUAUUUAUUUUAUUUAUAUUUAUUAUAAGUAAUUCCAUUUGGAUCAGUCCCUUAAAGAUCUAUCUUUUUUAUGGAGAUAUUGAUUUGACAACCUUUGUGGCCUAAACUUUGAGGAGGCUUUAGCCAACGAUGUAUGUUCUGUCCUUCAAAGAGAAUAUCAUAACAGAGCUGCAAAGUUUGUGGUCAAGGAUGUCCAAUUAAUUCAGGCAAAGCAUUUUGAAUUUGAUGUUCCGAAUGAUUUCUUGGUGAUGGGCAAAGACUGGCGAAGCAUUAAAGGAAACAGUUUAGUGCGAAGUAAGAGCACCCAAAAAGUAGUUCAGUGGGAUGAUUAAUUGAAUGAAAAUUCGUAUAGGUGGUAAGAAUUCGUUUUUACUUUAUAUUUGGAAAUUGAUUUUCAUUUUCCCUGUCUAUUUUUUUACGCGUAAUGGAUGACUUAUUUUACAGGCUUUGUUACGCUGGUGCUUUUUGCCUUUUGGUGGUGAGAAGAUUGGUAUAUAAGUAAUGUGCUGUUUAUGUAAAAUAAUUCGAUCUGAUUGUAAUGUUGAAUUGUUCUUUUGAAAAAUUCAAGUUAUACCCAUGUUUGGGUUGGUGCAAUUUUUUUUGCGGUUUUCCUUCUCUGCUUCUAGGUUUUUUUGUCCCCGUGAUUGAUGUAUUGGCAAACUUUAUUUAUUCAUUAUUACUUUUACUACGUUGGGUUUUUCAUGAUCUGACUGUUGUUGAUGAA